Molecule: ribozyme, 72 nt
Filed under: unclassified sequences
Description: HDV ribozyme from F. prausnitzii
Rfam family: HDV ribozyme from F. prausnitzii
Source: RNAcentral
GCUGCUCAAACCUUCACACACCACUUCGUGGUGAGCAGUAGGCAACGAUCUAUGAUCGGCAGAGAUGUGAAG